UGGGGAAUAUUGGACAAUGGGCGCAAGCCUGAUCCAGCCAUGCCGCGUGAGUGAUGAAGGCCUUAGGGUUGUAAAGCUCUUUCACCGGUGAAGAUAAUGACGGUAACCGGAGAAGAAGCCCCGGCUAACUUCGUGCCAGCAGCCGCGGUAAUACGAAGGGGGCUAGCGUUGUUCGGAUUUACUGGGCGUAAAGCGCACGUAGGCGGACUAUUAAGUUAGGGGUGAAAUCCCGGGGAUCAACACCAGAACUGGCUUUGAUACUGGUAGUGUUGAGUGCGAGAGAGGUGAGUGGAAUUCCGAGUGUAGAGGUGAAAUUCGUAGAUAUUGGGAGGAAAACCAGUGGCGAAGGCGGCUCACUGGAUCGAUACUGACGCUGAGGUGCGAAAGCGUGGGGAGCAAACAGG
This 404-nucleotide ribosomal RNA is filed under the name Actinomycetes bacterium. Its description in RNAcentral is "Actinobacteria bacterium partial 16S ribosomal RNA". It matches the Rfam family "Bacterial small subunit ribosomal RNA", at positions 355 to 776 of the family's 1533-position model. The record is from RNAcentral. Lineage: Bacteria; Bacillati; Actinomycetota; Actinomycetes.